RNAcentral lists this ribosomal RNA (256 nucleotides) under uncultured bacterium. Its description in RNAcentral is "partial small subunit ribosomal RNA". It matches the Rfam family "Bacterial small subunit ribosomal RNA", at positions 26 to 285 of the family's 1533-position model. The record is from RNAcentral.
AGGACGAACGCUGGCGGCGUGCUUAACACAUGCAAGUCGAACGGUGAAGCCUUUCGGGGUGGAUCAGUGGCGAACGGGUGAGUAACACGUGAGCAAUCUGCCCUUGACUCUGGGAUAACUUCGGGAAACCGUGGCUAAUACCGGAUAUGACGCAUGGUCGCAUGGUCUGUGUGUGGAAAGAUUUAUUGGUCAGGGAUGAGCUCGCGGCCUAUCAGCUUGUUGGUGGGGUAAUGGCCUACCAAGGCGACGACGGGUA